Molecule: ribosomal RNA, 253 nt
Filed under: uncultured bacterium
Lineage: Bacteria
Description: partial 16S ribosomal RNA
Rfam family: Bacterial small subunit ribosomal RNA
Source: RNAcentral
UACGUAGGGUGCAAGCGUUAAUCGGAAUUACUGGGCGUAAAGCGUGCGCAGGCGGUUUCGUAAGUCUGACGUGAAAUCCCCGGGCUCAACCUGGGAAUUGCGUUGGAGACUGCAAGGCUAGAAUCUGGCAGAGGGGGGUAGAAUUCCACGUGUAGCAGUGAAAUGCGUAGAGAUGUGGAGGAACACCGAUGGCGAAGGCAGCCCCCUGGGUCAAGAUUGACGCUCAUGCACGAAAGCGUGGGGAGCAAACAGG